AACGAACGCUGGCGGCAUGCCUAACACAUGCAAGUCGAACGAGAUCUUCGGGUCUAGUGGCGCACGGGUGCGUAACGCGUGGGAAUCUGCCCUUUGGUUCGGAAUAACAGUUGGAAACGACUGCUAAUACCGGAUGAUGACGAAAGUCCAAAGACUUAUCGCCAGAGGAUGAGCCCGCGUAGGAUUAGCUAGUUGGUGUGGUAAAGGCGCACCAAGGCGACGAUCCUUAGCUGGUCUGAGAGGAUGAUCAGCCACACUGGGACUGAGACACGGCCCAGACUCCUACGGGAGGCAGCAGUGGGGAAUAUUGGACAAUGGGCGAAAGCCUGAUCCAGCAAUGCCGCGUGAGUGAUGAAGGCCUUAGGGUUGUAAAGCUCUUUUACCCGGGAUGAUAAUGACAGUACUGGGAGAAUAAGCUCCGGCUAACUCCGUGCCAGCCGCCGCAGUAA
RNAcentral lists this ribosomal RNA (449 nucleotides) under uncultured bacterium. RNAcentral's name for it is "partial 16S ribosomal RNA". It matches the Rfam family "Bacterial small subunit ribosomal RNA", at positions 29 to 523 of the family's 1533-position model. The record is from RNAcentral.